This 445-nucleotide ribosomal RNA is filed under the name uncultured bacterium. RNAcentral's name for it is "partial 16S ribosomal RNA". It matches the Rfam family "Bacterial small subunit ribosomal RNA", at positions 354 to 796 of the family's 1533-position model. The record is from RNAcentral.
GUGAGGAAUAUUGGUCAAUGGGCGAGAGCCUGAACCAGCCAAGUCGCGUGAAGGAAGAAGGAUCUAUGGUUCGUAUACUUCUUUUGCAGGGGAAUAAAGUGCAGGAUGUGUCCUGUUUUGUAUGUACCCUGAGAAUAAGGAUCGGCUAACUCCGUGCCAGCAGCCGCGGUAAUACGGAGGAUCCGAGCGUUAUCCGGAUUUAUUGGGCUUAAAGGGUGCGUAGGUGGUUUGAUAAGUCAGCGGUGAAAGUUUGCAGCUUAACUGUAAAAAUGCCGUUGAAACUGUCGGACUUGAGUGUAAAUGAGGUAGGCGGAAUGCGUGGUGUAGCGGUGAAAUGCAUAGAUAUCGCGCAGAACUCCGAUUGCGAAGGCAGCUUACUAAGCUACAACUGACACUGAAGCACGAAAGCGUGGGGAUCAAACAGGAUUAGAAACCCUGGUAGUCC